AUUGAGGGCCUACUGUGUAGAAUACCGAACUUCUAAAAUUAUGAAGUUACGGUGGGAUGUAAUAUGCGGAUUUUAAUAUAAAAAAGAAAAUAAAUAAAAAUAAUAUGAGAUACUAUUUUUAUUAGAUUUAGAGAAGUGAAAUAUAAGUCUGGAAUGACCCAUGUUGAAAUCAAAGCGAAAACAGAAGAUUUAGAUUUUCUGUGAGAAACGGGGCAGAUAAAUUAGCAGAAAAUACACAGUCUCAGAAAAUUAUGAAAAUUGGCGGGGAUGCCAGAAAUAUUUUAAUGAGGCUAGAUUUAAAGUUUCAUAUUUUUCUGACACCCGUAGAGUGAGAAAUAAAAUUCGAAAGCCAUCUGAUAAAGAUUGCAGUUCGGCACAGUUUUCGGUGACCAAACAGGGUCGAAACUGAAAACUUAAGAUAUAUUCUUGUUCAGUACGUUAAACUGAACAUGACUGUCAAAUUUGAGCUCAAACGGAUACUCUGGGAGCUCCGGCGAAAGAUAUAAGAUUUUAAGUUGCCUGGAAUGAAUAGUGUUGGUGUUGACUUUAAUUAGAAGCAUCAGCUUCUUCUCCUUCAACCGACCACCGCCACCAUGGCCACACACACGCACGCAUGAAAGGGGGAGAGAAACCCUCCUUUCUCUCUCUAAAUAUCUCUCUUAUCUCUCUAUAUUUCUCGCCCAAAUUCGCGGCGUUGGUGGAGAUCGAGCUUGCGAACGUGUUGGAGGCGACGGAUUGAGCUUUCGUGCGCCCGUUGGAGCGCCCGUUGGAGCGACGUGUUUUCAUUGCGGCGUUCACAUUGGGGUAAGCUUUUGGGAUUUGGCUUAAUCCUUAGCUUUAAGAGUUCUAGUGGCCUCUAAUGAGCAUUUUUAGCAUGUUGCUCCAUUUAAUUUGGAUUAUUUGGGAGUAAUUGCAUGUUAGGGCUCAAAAAUAGAAUUUUUCAAUAUGUGAGGGUUUGAUCUAAUUUGACCCUUCGUAAACCUAAUUGCAAGGUAAACGAACGCGUUGGCGAAGUCGGUUCGGCGAUUCGUCGAUCGGCGAUUCGUCGAGCCGUUGUAAAGUUAUUAAAGAAACGGUCGUUUAGGCUUCGUUUCCGCCUGGAGGGCCGAGGCGACAUCGUAUACUCAUGAAAACGGAUUUGAAGCAUCGUGGCACAUAACCGAAGACCUUUAAUUUUCGGAUCGUGAAUUGGAGGCCGUUCGGGUGGUCGCGCGAGAGAUCGGGCCAAACCGGGUGCCGGGUGCCGCGGGAGGCCGAUUACAAGUGUCGACAAGCAAUCGGAAUGCGAUAAAAGGUGGGGGGUGUCAUCCCGAAGCAACUGAGCUUCCUUUUAUGUCUAAGUUCUAUAUCUUGAUCAUAUUCCUAUAUGUUGAUAUAUUGUGCAUUAUAGGAUUAGUAGAUGAUUACAUUUCCAUUCCUUGCAUGUUACCUAGGUUGUGUAGCAUUGUGGGCUUGACACUUGAUCUUAGGUUGCAUGAGGAUUGGGUCUUGUGACAAGAAUCCUAUAGUGACAAGAAUGAUGAUGAACUUGGACAUGUAAUUGGCCUAGACGAGUGGCAUUUGGACUAGUGUAACAAAGACACUAUAAUAUUGACGAGUGGCAUGUCGAUUUAGUGUAUUAAGACACAUAUAACAUCAUGACAUAAACGAGUGGCAUCAAAUCUAGUGUAGUGAAACACUAUGGCAUUUGAACCUAGGGAUAGUAGAUUUUCCCGAUUGUCAUGUUGUAGACAUUAUGCAUUUGGCAUUAGUGCAUUUGAGGCAUUGAUUAUGCAUUUGGUAUUGUGCAGCAGAGGCACAUUGACCCUGGUAGAUAGGGUAUCCUCUUGUGAGGAUUGGAUCAUACUCACUAGUCUGUUUUUGCUUGUCGGUGAUCGCUCCACCGAGGCACGAGUCUCCGGAGUACUUCACUAGGGGCAGACGUAGUUGUCCCGCAGACGGUCUCGGUGUGCGAGUGCAGAUUCUGCUCACCUAUGAGAUUGAGAGUGAGUCGGGGUUGACCCCGGGGUGGCAACCUUCGGGUUAGCCAUGAGAUUGGAUACUAUCGAGGCAUAGUUGCACGACGCACUAUGUAGUAGCUCGUUCAUUCGGAUUAUUGAGGCAUAGUAGCAUGUGUAGAGACAUCACUAUGUAGUAGCUCAUUUCUUUAUUGUUGAGACAUAGUA
This 2165-nucleotide long non-coding RNA is filed under the name Ananas comosus (pineapple). RNAcentral describes it as "long non-coding RNA (ACOM_LNC036267)". The record is from RNAcentral. Lineage: Eukaryota; Viridiplantae; Streptophyta; Magnoliopsida; Poales; Bromeliaceae.